UACAGAGGGGGCGAGCGUUGUUCGGAAUUACUGGGCGUAAAGGGCUCGUAGGCGGCCAACUAAGUCGGACGUGAAAUCCCUCAGCUUAACUGGGGAACUGCGUCUGAUACUGGAUGGCUUGGAUUUGGGAGAGGGAUGCGGAAUUCCAGGUGUAGCGGUGAAAUGCGUAGAUAUCUGGAGGAACACCGGUGGCGAAGGCGGCAUCCUGGACCAACAUUGACGCUGAGGAGCGAAAGCCAGGGGAGCAAGCGGG
Molecule: ribosomal RNA, 253 nt
Filed under: uncultured bacterium
Lineage: Bacteria
Description: partial 16S ribosomal RNA
Rfam family: Bacterial small subunit ribosomal RNA
Source: RNAcentral